UUAUGGCCAUAUCACGUUGAAAGACCAGUUCCCGUACGAUCACCGAAGUUGAGCAACGUCGAUCCGUGUCAAUACCAAGAUGGGUGACUGCUUGGGAAUACCAAAGCGCUGUAAG
Molecule: non-coding RNA, 115 nt
Organism: Acanthosepion pharaonis
Lineage: Eukaryota; Metazoa; Mollusca; Cephalopoda; Sepiida; Sepiidae
Source: the annotation of a GenBank genome assembly